AGAGUUUGAUCAUGGCUCAGGAUGAACGCUAGCGGGAGGCCUAACACAUGCAAGCCGAGCGGUAGAGAUUCUUCGGAAUCUUGAGAGCGGCGUACGGGUGCGGAACACGUGUGCAACCUACCUUUAUCUGGAGGAUAGCCUUUCGAAAGGAAGAUUAAUACUCCAUAAUAUAUUGAUUGGCAUCAAUUGAUAUUGAAAGCUCCGGCGGAUAGAGAUGGGCACGCGCAAGAUUAGUUAGUUGGUGAGGUAACGGCUCACCAAGACGAUGAUCUUUAGGGGCCUGAGAGGGUGAUCCCCCACACUGGUACUGAGACACGGACCAGACUCCUACGGGAGGCAGCAGUGAGGAAUAUUGGUCAAUGGGUGCAAGCCUGAACCAGCCAUCCCGCGUGAAGGACGACUGCCCUAUGGGUUGUAAACUUCUUUUGUAUAGGGAUAAACCUACCCUCGUGAGGGUAGCUGAAGGUAUUAUACGAAUAAGCACCGGCUAACUCCGUG
This 498-nucleotide ribosomal RNA is filed under the name uncultured bacterium. Its description in RNAcentral is "bacterial SSU rRNA". It matches the Rfam family "Bacterial small subunit ribosomal RNA", at positions 8 to 507 of the family's 1533-position model. The record is from RNAcentral.